Long non-coding RNA from Acinonyx jubatus (cheetah), 4116 nucleotides. RefSeq lists it as uncharacterized. The record is from RefSeq and is a predicted model, not a curated record. The transcript is spliced from 4 exons. NCBI's taxonomy places the organism in Eukaryota, Metazoa, Chordata, Mammalia, Carnivora, Felidae.
CUAACUCCAGCUUUUUUUUCUUCUGGCAAAACUCAACUGCAUUAUAAAUUUUAAAAUUGGAUUUUACUCGACAGAAAGUCUAUGAAAUUGGCUGUUGGAAACACAAGUGUCCAGCUGUAGCGUCAAUAAUUAGUUGCUUCACUGAAAGUGGAUUACUUUUUAUAAAAACUUUCCCCUUUCCCCAGAGAUGACUGCAUUUCUCGGGAAAAAGGAUGCAACACCAGGGAUGCACAGCCACACAGAGAAAAGAGCCCUGUGAGGUCACAGCAAGAAGGUGCUUUCUACAAGCCAAGGAAAUGUGCCUCUGGAGAAACCAAACCUGUCAACACCUUGAUCUCAAACUUCCAGCCUCCAGAAUGCAACAAGGAACUGAGAGAACUGGUAGCUCUGCAGAGGGACAGUUUUUCCGAGUCUUUUCUCCCAGCUCCUUUCGUGGUGCUGCUCUGUGAGUUGGACUGGCUGGCUUCCCAGAUUACCUUGAAAGAGCUCUGCUUUCACUUAGGAUUUAGAAAGUUACAAGAGAACAUAACUCACAUGCUAACAUCAAGACAGUCUUCAAAAGCGUAACUUUUCUUGAGCCCAUCAGAGAUACGAGAUCACAAGUCAACCUGGUGAACUGAAUUCCAAAGUUCAAUAAACCUCUCCAAGGAAUGAGGAAACAGAUGAACCAUUUCACCUGUGGCAGAGCACAAGCAGUGGUGAGAGUCAUGAAAGUUGGUAAGAAGAAAAUAUGUAAAAUUGUAAUAUAUUCUUUAAAAUUGAAUGUGAACUAUACCAAUGGGGACACCUGGAUGGUUCAGUCAGUUAAGCAUCCAUCUACAGCUCAGGUCAUGAUCUCACAGUUCAUGGGUUCAAGCCCGUCAUCAGGCUCUCUCUGCUGUCAGCACAGAGCCCACUUCAGAUUCUGUCGCCCUCUCUCUCUGCCCUUCUCCCUUUCUUCUCUCUCUCUGUCUCUCUCUCUCUCUCUCUCUCUCUCUCCCCCCACCUCUUGAAAUAAAUAAAUAAACAGUAAAAAAAAGAAUACCUAUGAUUUCUAUGUUCAAAUAAAUAGAUGGCAAGAAAGGAAUUUUACUACAGAACUAAAAUCUCUUUAAAAAGAAUCAGAAAGAUAUUUUAGAUUUUAAAAUUGCAACUAUUGAAAUUAAGAUAUCAAUAGAUUGGUUAACAGCAGAAUAGAAAGUUAGAGAUAAUAAAGAAUUAAAAGAUCAAUAGAAAAAAUCCAGACAGAAUCAUGGAGAUUCUGAAAAAAUUCAAAGACUGUAAGGUAGAUUUGAUGUAUAUGAUAGUAAAUUCCCAGCCACAAGCAAGUUUCUGAAGGCUUGAGCCAACCUUCCAGAGGAAAACCAAAGAAAUUUAACUGAAGGUACUCCUUUAAAAUAAAGCCAGAGGAAAGGUAGGGGGAGGGGAUGGGUGAAAUAGUGAAGGAGAUUAAGAGUACACUUAUGAUCUGCACUCAAUAAUGAUGUUUAGAAUUGUUGAACCACUAUAUUGUACACCUGAAUCUAAUAUAACACUGUAUAGUAAUUAACUGGAAUUUACAUAAAAACUUAAAAAUAGAUAAAAAACUAAAACUAAAUUAAAAAAAAAAACUUAAUAAAAAAGAAAAAAAGCCCUAGUCUAACCCAGGAGUUGUACCAGUCAGUAACUAGUCCCACCCACACCCCUCCUGCAGGUCCCUAAGCAACUCCAGGGAUAUCUCCCAACAAUCUGGCUACAGGCAAAACUCCACCUCAUUACAGCUGAAUGGAUCAUUUCACUGGCAAAUGCGCCUGAUAGGAAUCCAAUCCAAGUAGUCAGUUUUAUAUCACGAAAUCCCUGAUCACUUUUCCAGACAGAUGAGCCCAUUUCUCCUACUAAUGUCCUGUGUGCAAAUGGACAGCUAGAGCAUUCUUUUACACAAUAGCUCUGAAAUGAGCAGCAAAAAAAAAAACAAAAAUAAAAACAAAAACCUGAGUGUAAAUAGUACAUAUCUCUAUCUGUCAAGGGUUAGAGACAGAAUGGGAAAAUUAGAGUAACAGAAUGGGAUAAUUAGGGCUAGAGUUUUCAAACAAAUAAGAUAUGAACAAUACAUUUAUAUAAUAUUUCCUUCUUGAAAUUCAAGUAGAAUAAAUGUAUUCUGUUCCUUUGUACAUCAUAGUAAAACUAAUGAAUAUCAAAGAUAAAGAGAAAAUAUUUAAACAGCCAGAGGAAAAAAAAGGUAUUAUCCUGAAAGGAAUAGCAGUAAGGCUAGAGCUGACUUUAUAAGGAAGAUAUAGAAGCCUUGGAAAAAAAUGGAGUAACUUCUUUAAAAUGUUUAAUAACUUCUUUAAAACAACUGUCAACAUACAUUUCUAUUUCUUCCAAAAGAAAUUAAAGAUGAAAUAAAUAAAUUUUCAGACUAUCAAAAUCAGAGAAUUUAUCACUUUUUUCCCCCUGAACUAAAUACCAAUAGAGUUCUUCAGGUUAAAAUAAAAUUAUUCUGGAUAAAACAUGAAAUGUAGGGGGUAAGGAAUAAAGGACAAUAGAAAUGUUAUAAAUGUAGAUAAAUAUAAAUAUUGACUAUACAAAAGCAAUAAUAGCAGGGCACCUGGGUGGCUCAGUCAGUUAAGCGUCUGACUCUUCCUUUUGGGCUCAGGUCAUGAUCUCAUGGUUCCUGAGUUUGAGCCCUAUAUCACGCUCUGCAGAGACAGCGUGGAGCCUGCUUGGGUUCUCUGUCUCCCCUCUCUUUCUGCCCCUACCCUCUCAAAAUAUUAAAUAAAUAAACAAACAAACAAAUAAAUAAAUAACAAUAGUAAAUCUAGUAGAGGUUAAAUAUAUGUAAAACUAAUAUGCAAGGAAAUAAACAGUACAUAAUAUAGGAAAGUAGGGAAAAUAAGUGUUCCAAAGCACUGCUCUCUCAUAGAAUUGCCAACAUUAUGUAAAUCUUCAAUUGGAAGCUGUCCAGUGGGGUAAACUCUAGUCCCUUGUGCCCACUGAGCACUAAGAAGAAAUAUGGCUAAUGCAACUGAGAAACUGAAUUUUUAAUUUUACUUAAUUAAGUUCAGUUCACAUUUAAAUGGCCACAUGUGUCUAAUGGUGACUGUAUUGAAGUUCUAAAGAUAUCUGCAUUGCCCAGAAAGGGAUAAAGUACUAAUUCAUACUAAGUUGUGUAAAAAAAAAAAAAAAAAAAAUCAAAGUUGCAAAUUUUGCUCUUUAGGAUAACCACAAAAGAAUAGUAAAAGAAUCAAUAACAAGCUACUAAAAGAUAAAGAAUUAGGUAAUUUUAAAAGUGUUUAAUCUUUUAAAAAGUUAAGAAAUUAGAGAUGCAGAGAACAGGAAACUUGAUAAAAGCCAAAAUAAAUUGCAACAUGGUAGGUAUAAAUCUUAGUACUUUAAUAAUUACUUUAAAUUCACUAAAUAUUCCAUUUAGAAAAUCAAACUGCAGACUCUCUCAUCUAGCCUAGUACUGACAUGGCUCAUGUAUAUGUAAUUUUUCAAAAUUUUGUUUAAUUUAGAAAUCUCAGCCAUGAACGUCCCAUAAUAUUGACAACCACAAGAACUAUCUUUUCCUUUUAAACUCCAAAGCUUGAUCUCCUACCAUAUUUUUAUAAUAUUUUCAUUGAUAAUUCUCUUUCCUUAAUAUAUACUUACAUGUAUGUGUAUUAUACAUAUACAUGCACGUAUGUAUGUGUUCUUUCUUGAUUAUACGACAAUGUUUUUUGCAAGUUUUUUGUCUUCUUACAUAUUGCUUUACCAAUACUUCACCCGUAAUAUCUGUAGAAUAAAUGAAUGAAAUAAAUGUUUUCAUGACACAAUUAGUAUCAAUGUUUAUAGAUCAGAAUAAAGUUAAAUAUAGUUAACAUUACCACAAUGCAGAGUAUUAGUUUGGGUUUGAAAAGGCAUAAUGCACUUUUGUUGUUGUUAUUUAAAGGCAUUAAAAUGUUAUUCACUUACUUUUCAAUUUAAUAGAGAUAGAUAAUAUUAAUUUCUGAUUUUUAAAAAGUACAUAAAACAUUAUAUUUUACUAUAUUUUUAUAAUAAUUUCUGGUGUUAUUAUAGUACAUUACAGAUUUUAUAAAUUCUUCAAAUGUUUUAUAUUAUGUAUUCAUCACAGUGGCUCUGUGAGGAAAGAGUUAAUACAAGUCUUUUCAUUUAAUC